GAUGAACGCUGGCGGCGUGCCUAAUACAUGCAAGUCGAGCGAACAGACGAGGAGCUUGCUCCUCUGACGUUAGCGGCGGACGGGUGAGUAACACGUGGAUAACCUACCUAUAAGACUGGGAUAACUUCGGGAAACCGGAGCUAAUACCGGAUAAUAUAUUGAACCGCAUGGUGCGAUAGUGAAAGACGGUUGUGCUGGAUCUUAUAGAGGGAUCCGGGCCGGAUGAGCUGGUUGGUAAGGUAACGGCUUACCACGGCAACGAUGCGUAGCCGAACUGAUGGGGUGGUCGGCCACACGAGAACUGAGCCAGGGUCCAGACUCCUACGGGAGGCAGCAGUAGGGAAUGUUCCGCAAUGGGCGAAAGCCUGACGGAGCAACGCCGCGUGAGUGAUGAAGAUCUUCGGAUCGUAAAGCCCUGUUAUUAGGGAAGAACAAAUGUGUAAGUAACUAUGCACGUAUUGACGGUACCUAAUCAGAAAGCCACGGCUAACUACGUG
This 497-nucleotide ribosomal RNA is filed under the name uncultured bacterium. RNAcentral's name for it is "partial 16S ribosomal RNA". It matches the Rfam family "Bacterial small subunit ribosomal RNA", at positions 28 to 507 of the family's 1533-position model. The record is from RNAcentral.